GACAGCUGACUUCCUUGGUGAGAGCUUUGAUUCUGCAGCAUCCACCACACAUACAAACGCAAGGAGAAAUGGCAGGGUUGACAGGAAGCAAAGUUUUCCUUCAUUAUUUGCCACAUGAAACAGGGAAGAAGCGAAAGGAUAAAACUAAGAAGAAAAAUCAAAGAACAUGAAUACACAACCAAGAAGGUUCCUCUACAAGCAAAGUUAUCAUCUGCUUUUUGGGGAGGGAUAGCUAUGCUUAUAAGGCCAACUUAAACUAGCUAGUUCCACCCUUUCCUUUUUCUACAAUUCGUAAACGUUACUAAUAUCAGUUACAGCCCAGAAUCCAAUGGUAAAGCUGCCUGGGGAGAGAUGGAAGAGGUUGCAGCAAUGAGAGUAAACUGAAGAUGAAGUGGAAAACUUGGAGGUGGAAAUAUGAAGUGGGACAUUUUAAAAGCAACUGAAAAAGUGGAACAACAAAAGAUUAAUGGUGACUGUCCCUGUUGAAUUGGGAUAGUUGGAGGUUAUGCCACCUUUGCAGAAGAAUUCUUCUUGGCCUAAGAAUUUAUUCACAUUUAUCCUCCCAGGUGAGAUUUUAAUUGUGUGAUUGACAUGUCUUAUUCAUGGAAUUAUAUACAGGAUCCGGUGGACCAUUCCCAUCCACAGAGGUUUGGUUCUGAUCUCACUGCAGAUGGGAAAAAAUGGAAAUGGUCCCAUGUUAUUCAGUGAGCAGUGACAUAGGCACAUCCACAUCAGCAUGUUAGUGUGCAUGCAUCAUCAUAGAAUAACAUGAGGCAUAACAAUCUGCAGGCAGUCAAAUCCCUAGCUCACUGAUGUGGUAGGCAUAUUGUAUUUAUAACCCUCCUGAGUGGAUGAAGUGAGGUCCUAAGACCAAACAAACAAAACUGUAUGGAACAAAAGACUGAAUGGCGGCUCAGUGUCUAUUGACAGGUAAUGGUGAGAAUCAGAAAGUACCUCUGAAGAUUUUUAAAAAUGGAAAUUGAGUAUCUUCUGUUACUGAGAGUAGCUGUUUGUUUAUUUUAUGUAUGUGUUGUGUAAAGUCCUGAUCAUCUUCUUAAUAAUAACAGCAUGUUAAUGGAAUGCUUCCUCAUGAACAGCUACAUGAAGCAGCCUGGGUGAUAUAGACCUCUCACUUCCACAAAUAAUCUAUCUUCAAAGCAAUAAAUCCCGGAGUCUUCAGCCAAUCAAGCUGCCUAAUUGGUUGAACAUUUACAAACACUUGAUAAUUAAAUUUGUGUUAAACUAUGUAAAAGGAUUUAUGUUCCACUUCACCCAGAUUGCUUCCCCCUUUCAUUUUGCAAGAGUGAAAUUCCUUCUGCCUGAUGCUUCAUUCAGGUGGUUAGAUGCAUCACAUUAUGUCAGUAAUGUCACAUUAGUAGUUCAUUCCACUGUAAUGGGCUUGACACAUCAUUGGAAAGGCAUAUCAAGCCUCCCGAGUUUCAAACUGCCAUGUUUUCUUCCCAACCAAAGAACUUUAAUGUGAUAGAUUUUAAUUAGACUGGAGGGUUUAGGGGGGUGGCACUGAUUCUAUUUUUGUCAAACCUUUAAAACAAAGAUCUCUACUGUCUCAUAUAUAAGGUUAAAGCUAGAGCUAAAGUUCAUAUUAUCAGAGCUUAUUUUUGAAGUACCUGAGGGAGGGUAUACACACACACACACACACACACACAUAUAGGAAAAACAUAAGCAAAUUCAAUCUAGUCCAGCAUUCUGUUCUCAGAGUAGUGGAUCAAUUGCUUAUGGGAAGUUCUCUCAUACCAAUUCUUAUAACCAAAUUAAUUCAUUCUAACCCUAGAUAACUAUAACUGGCCUGAUUCUAUUUUAUAGAAUCCUGGGGUUUGCAGAACAGGAAGGAGUAAAUAGAAUUCCCAGCUCUAGUGCCUCACCAAAACCACAGAUCCCAUGAUUCCAUAUAAUGUUGUGGCACUUCUAAUGGCACAUUGGGCUUGUCUGCAUGGACCAUAUAAACUAGUUUUCCCAUGUUUUUUCAGCAAAAAGUCUAUGCAAGGCCCAGUCCUUGGAUCUGGAGCAAACAGACUGGAUGAUGCCCAGUCCAUUCAGCACCAAACCUGGGAUAUAAUGCACCAGGUGGCAGAAUAGGACACAUUUUAACUAGCCUCCCAGUGUUGCAACUGUAAUGGCGGGAGGGGCGCUCUUUGGCCAAGAUAAUCCAGGCUGCUCUGGAGUAUUCUGGCCCAUGCAGACAUAACCAUAGUGCUAUAAUUGUGAAAUGUAAAAGGGCCUUCUGACAUUUUCACUGUGGAACUUCUGGUAGAGUGCGUAGGCUCAACACUUACAAAAAAAGAUGAUCACCAUCAUCAUCAUCAUCAUCAUCAUCAUCAUCAUCAUCAUCAUCA
Molecule: long non-coding RNA, 2354 nt
Organism: Sceloporus undulatus (fence lizard)
Lineage: Eukaryota; Metazoa; Chordata; Lepidosauria; Squamata; Phrynosomatidae
Exons: 3
Source: RefSeq, a predicted model, not a curated record